Antechinus flavipes (yellow-footed antechinus) is the source of this 894-nucleotide long non-coding RNA. RefSeq lists it as uncharacterized. The transcript has 4 exons. The record is from RefSeq and is a predicted model, not a curated record. NCBI's taxonomy places the organism in Eukaryota, Metazoa, Chordata, Mammalia, Dasyuromorphia, Dasyuridae.
UUAAGUAUUUAUAUUUGUCAGAAAGAUGUGAAUUUAAAUUAUUGAAAGCCUGAGGACUAAAAAUACAAAAAAGAGAACAUCAUGACCAGAAGUUCAUUGACGCUUAUGUACUUGAACCUUUGGCGAGUUGAAAGAUUACGACAAGACACUCACCCAUCUUCACCCAACUCUCUCCUCAAGGAAUGGGGCAACAGCAGGAAGUAUAAGGGGCAUGUUACCAAAAGUCUGAGCCACAUCUGGGAGCAGAAGCCAGUCAGCAAGAAAGGAGCAAGUUCUGAAGCCUUGAUCCAUAACAGUAGAAGCUUUAAUACCCAGGGAUCUUUGAUGAAAGUGGGUCACCCUGAGGCCAUGACUCAAUGAUCUAAGAAGUUGAGAGAGAGAGAGAGUGGAGGGAUCCAACAAAUGUAAUAGGGAACCACUGGAGUUUAUCCACCAAGGCAUGACAGAAUCAGAGAUGUGCUUUACGAAUAUCACUUUAAUACCUAUGCAAAGGAUACAAGGAGAAAGAAAAUCCUUUUAGGCAGGUAAAAAGCAAAGUGGAUAGAGUCCUGCACCUGGAGACAGGACCAACUAAGUUUAAAUAUGGCUUCAGAUACUUACUAGCUAUGUGUGCCUGGACAAGUCAAAUAACCCUAUUUGCCUCAGUUUUCUCUUCUGUAAAAUAAGUUAAAAAAGGAAAUGGCUAAUCCCAGAAAUUGCCAAGAAAACCUCAGCUGAAGUCAUAAAGAACUGAACAUUUCUGAAACAACUCAACAAUAACAAUAUCCCAUACUUUUAAAGAACUUUGUAAGUCUUAAACUAUAUAUAUAUGCUGGGUAGGUAUUUACUAAUCCUAAGCUCUCCCUGGCUGCUUCAUUUUGAUUGACAUGGAAAUUAAAUAUUUGCAAGAAAAGA